This 427-nucleotide ribosomal RNA is filed under the name uncultured bacterium. RNAcentral's name for it is "bacterial SSU rRNA". It matches the Rfam family "Bacterial small subunit ribosomal RNA", at positions 355 to 774 of the family's 1533-position model. The record is from RNAcentral.
UGGGGAAUUUUGGACAAUGGGGGCAACCCUGAUCCAGCCAUGCCGCGUGUGCGAAGAAGGCCUUCGGGUUGUAAAGCACUUUUGGCGGGAAAGAAAAGGCGCUGGCCAAUACCUGGCGCCGAUGACGGUACCCGCAGAAUAAGCACCGGCUAACUACGUGCCAGCAGCCGCGGUAAUACGUAGGGUGCAAGCGUUAAUCGGAAUUACUGGGCGUAAAGCGUGCGCAGGCGGUUCGGAAAGAGAGAUGUGAAAUCCCAGGGCUUAACCUUGGAACUGCAUUUUUAACUCCCGGACUAGAGUAUGUCAGAGGGGGGUGGAAUUCCACGUGUAGCAGUAAAAUGCGUAGAUAUGUGGAGGAACACCGAUGGCGAAGGCAGCCCCCUGGGAUGAUACUGACGCUCAUGCACGAAAGCGUGGGGAGCAAACA